RNAcentral lists this transfer RNA (76 nucleotides) under Staphylococcus capitis SK14. RNAcentral describes it as "tRNA-Asp". It matches the Rfam family "tRNA". From Rfam's summary of the family: Transfer RNA (tRNA) molecules are approximately 80 nucleotides in length. Their secondary structure includes four short double-helical elements and three loops (D, anti-codon, and T loops). The record is from RNAcentral. Lineage: Bacteria; Bacillati; Bacillota; Bacilli; Caryophanales; Staphylococcaceae.
GGUCCCGUAGUGUAGCGGUUAACACGCCUGCCUGUCACGCAGGAGAUCGCGGGUUCGAUUCCCGUCGGGACCGUAU